GUUAUAGGGUCAAGCGAACAAGUGCAUGUGGUGGAUGCCUUGGCGAUCACAGGCGAUGAAGGACGCGGUAGCCUGCGAAAAGCUACGGGGAGCUGGCAAACGAGCUUUGAUCCGUAGAUGUCCGAAUGGGGAAACCCACUCCUUUUGGAGUAUCCAUGGCUGAAUACAUAGGCCAUGAGAAGCGAACGCGGUGAACUGAAACAUCUAAGUAACCGCAGGAAAAGAAAUCAACCGAGAUUCCCAAAGUAGUGGCGAGCGAAAUGGGAUGAGCCUUGCACUCUUUAUUUGUAUUGUUAGCCGAACGCUCUGGAAAGUGCGGCCAUAGCAGGUGAUAGC
RNAcentral lists this ribosomal RNA (336 nucleotides) under Burkholderia pyrrocinia. RNAcentral's name for it is "bacterial LSU rRNA". It matches the Rfam family "Bacterial large subunit ribosomal RNA", at positions 1 to 371 of the family's 2925-position model. Lineage: Bacteria; Pseudomonadati; Pseudomonadota; Betaproteobacteria; Burkholderiales; Burkholderiaceae. The record is from RNAcentral.